UGAGUUUGAUCAUGGCUCAGAAUCAACGCUGGCGGCGCGCUUAACACAUGCAAGUCGAACGAGAAAGUGGAGCAAUCCAUGAGUAAAGUGGCGUACGGGUGAGUAACACGUGGGUAAUCUACCUCUUGGUGGGGAAUAACCCUGGGAAACCGGGGCUAAUACCGCAUAAGCUCGGAAGAGGAAGCCCGAAAGGGGCCGAGAGAGGAGCCCGCGGCCGAUUAGCUAGUUGGUGAGGUAAGAGCUCACCAAGGCGAUGAUCGGUAGCCGGCCUGAGAGGGCACACGGCCACACUGGCACUGAAACACGGGCCAGACUCCUACGGGAGGCAGCAGUGGGGAAUCUUGCACAAUGGGGGCAACCCUGAUGCAGCGACGCCGCGUGAGCGAUGAAGCCCUUCGGGGUGUAAAGCUCUUUCGGCCGGAACGAUAAUGACGGUACCGGCAGAAGAAGCUGCGGCUAACUACGUGCCAGCAGCCGCGGUAAUACGUAGGCAGCGAGCGUUGUUCGGAGUUACUGGGCGUAAAGAGUGCGUAGGCGGUGCUCUAAGUUUGGUGUGAAAUCUCCCGGCUCAACUGGGAGGGUGCGCCGAAAACUGGAGUGCUCGAGUAUGGGAGAGGUAAGCGGAAUUCCUGGUGUAGCGGUGAAAUGCGUAGAUAUCAGGAGGAACACCUGCGGUGUAGACGGCUUACUGGACCAUGACUGACGCUGAGGCAAGAAAGCGUGGGGAGCAAACAGGAUUAGAUACCCUGGUAGUCCACGCCCUAAACGAUGCAUACUUGGUGUGAGCGAUUCAUUUCGUUCGUGCCGGAGGUAACGCGUUAAGUAUGCCGCCUGGGGAGUACGGUCGCAAGGA
Molecule: ribosomal RNA, 853 nt
Filed under: uncultured bacterium
Lineage: Bacteria
Description: bacterial SSU rRNA
Rfam family: Bacterial small subunit ribosomal RNA
Source: RNAcentral